UACGUAGGGUGCAAGCGUUAAUCGGAAUUACUGGGCGUAAAGCGUGCGCAGGCGGUUUCGUAAGACAGAUGUGAAAUGCCCGGGCUUAACCUGGGAACUGCAUUUGUGACUGCAUGGCUAGAGUUUGGCAGAGGGGGGUAGAAUUCCACGUGUAGCAGUGAAAUGCGUAGAUAUGUGGAGGAACACCGAUGGCGAAGGCAGCCCCCUGGGUCAAGACUGACGCUCAUGCACGAAAGCGUGGGGAGCAAACAGG
This 253-nucleotide ribosomal RNA is filed under the name uncultured bacterium. Its description in RNAcentral is "partial 16S ribosomal RNA". It matches the Rfam family "Bacterial small subunit ribosomal RNA", at positions 524 to 776 of the family's 1533-position model. The record is from RNAcentral.